Molecule: ribosomal RNA, 753 nt
Filed under: uncultured sediment bacterium
Lineage: Bacteria
Description: bacterial SSU rRNA
Rfam family: Bacterial small subunit ribosomal RNA
Source: RNAcentral
AGAGUUUGAUCAUGGCUCAGAAUGAACGUUGGCGGCGUGGAUUAGGCAUGCAAGUCGAGCGAGAAGCCUCCUUCGGGAGGUGGACAGCGGCGUAAGGGUGAGUAACGCGUGGAUUACCUGCCCCCGGGUCUGGGAUAGCGGUGGGAAACUGCCGGUAAUACCGGAUGAUCUCUACGAUGUUAAAGUCGUGGAGCAAAGGUGAGAUUCCGCCUGGGGAUGGUUCCGCGUCCUAUUAGCUUGUUGGUGAGGUAAUGGCUCACCAAGGCUACGAUGGGUAGCGGGCGUGAGAGCGUGGCCCGUCACACUGGGACUGAGACACUGCCCAGACACCUACGGGUGGCUGCAGUCGAGAAUCUUCGGCAAUGGGCGAAAGCCUGACCGAGCGACGCCGCGUGCGGGAUGAAGGCCUUCGGGUUGUAAACCGCUGUCGGAGGGGAGGAAAUGCAAGGGGGUUCUCCCCCUUGUUUGACCUAUCCUCGGAGGAAGUCCGGGCUAAGUUCGUGCCAGCAGCCGCGGUAAGACGAACCGGACAAACGUUAUUCGGAAUUACUGGGCUUAAAGGGUGCGUAGGCGGCACGAUAGGUGGGAUGUGAAAUCCCCCGGCUUAACCGGGGAACUGCGUUCCAAACCAUCGCGCUUGAGAGAGACAGAGGUGAGCGGAACUUGCAGUGGAGCGGUGAAAUGCGUUGAUAUUGCAAGGAACACCAGUGGCGAAGGCGGCUCACUGGGUCUCUUCUGACGCUGAGGCACGAA